GGGGCAUUCGUAUUUAACUGUCAGAGGUGAACUUCUUAGAUUUGUUAAAGACGAACUACUGCGAAAGCAUUUGCCAAGGAUGUUUUCAUUAAUCAAGAACGAAAGUUAGGGGAUCGAAGACGAUCAGACACUGUUGUAGUCCUAACCAUAAACUAUGCCGACUAGAGAUUGGAGGUUGUCAGUUUUUACGACUCCCUCAUCAGAUGUGUCGAUCUCAAAGUCUGAUGGUUCUGGCGGGAGUAUGGUCGCAAGUCCGAAACUGAAACGACUCGGUGGAAGGACAUCACCAGGUCUGGCGCUUGCUGGUUAAUACGAGUCAGCGUGGUGUACCUCACCAGGUCCAGACAGAGGAAGGAUUGACAGAUUGAUAGCUCUUUCUUGAUUCUUUGGGUGGUGGUGCAUGGCCGUUCUUAGUUGGUGGAGUGAUUUGUCUGGUUAAUUCCGUUAACGAACGAGACCUUAACCUGCUAAAUAGGAUGCGGGAAUAAACUUUUGUUGUCCCGUUAUCGCUUCUUAGAGGGACUUUGCGGUUAUAAAUCGCAAGGAAGUUUAAGGCAAUAACAGGUCUGUGAUGCCCUUAGAUGUCCUGGGCCGCACGCGCGCUACACUGAUGCGUUCAUCGAGUUUAUCCUUGGCCGAGAGGCCCGGGUAAUCUUUAGUACGCAUCGUGAUGGGGAUCGAUUAUUGGGCUUAGUACACCUGCACAAGGAAUGAGGAAAAGGCGCGAGUCUGGACAUUCUGCCGAUGGC
Molecule: ribosomal RNA, 749 nt
Filed under: Theileria sp. buffeli/orientalis group
Lineage: Eukaryota; Apicomplexa; Aconoidasida; Piroplasmida; Theileriidae
Description: bacterial SSU rRNA
Rfam family: Eukaryotic small subunit ribosomal RNA
Source: RNAcentral